Molecule: long non-coding RNA, 512 nt
Organism: Ictalurus punctatus (channel catfish)
Lineage: Eukaryota; Metazoa; Chordata; Actinopteri; Siluriformes; Ictaluridae
Source: Ensembl
AUGGAUUCCUCAGCAAAUUGAAGCAAGAUGUUGCGGCCCCCGUGGAGCUUUGAAAGCCUUCCAUGCUGUACCUCUGUAUUCUUCCAUAAAAGGAGAAGCUGUUUACCUUAACCUGCUGAGGUCUGCUCUCCAGAUGUUCCUGCUUCCCCUGUUUCAUCUCUACAUUUAAGAGAGGGGAGCGUUACACGAGUCUUGUCAGUGAACUGUGCGCUGUGGAAGAGGGCACCAGAUGGAGAUAAUCUAGAGCUGAAAAGAGAAAAAGAAACCAUGUCUAAAUGACAUCAAAGGGAAAUCUGUGCAGAAACAAACGGUCACAGGGAAUCUGGAGCCUAUCCCAGGGGGUAUCGGGCACAAUUCAGGGUACACCCUGGACAGGGUGUACAAUCACAUACACACUCACACUCCCAUUCAUACACUAUGGACACUUUAGACAUGCCAAUCAGCCUACCAUGCAUGUCUUUGGACGGGGGGAGGAAACCGGAGUACCCGGAGGAAACCCCCGCAGCACGGGG